This is a long non-coding RNA of Oryzias latipes (Japanese medaka), 3534 nucleotides long. RefSeq lists it as uncharacterized. NCBI's taxonomy places the organism in Eukaryota, Metazoa, Chordata, Actinopteri, Beloniformes, Adrianichthyidae. The record is from RefSeq and is a predicted model, not a curated record.
AGUCAAGAGGGAGAAACUCAUUAAACUAAAGGAAAAUAAGGAAGACUUUUACAUCAGAUCAUAGAGCUUUUGUGGAGAAGUAUUGGCUCGGCCAAUGGACUCAGAAAGUGAAAAUGAGCAAGUAUCGGAGUGCGUGAGUUGAUUCAUUGUCAAAAGUGGCCCCAACAUUUACCAAAGGCAACCACAAAUGCACAACGUGAUAAAUAUGGUGAAACACUUUCCAAAAAUGUAGUGAAGAACACAGACAAACUGAACAAAGGAGUUCUCCAAGGAAGAAGUGGUCACAGGGACAUGUUUCAGAGAAAGGAGAAGAGGAAGAAGGGAGAAGUCGAAUUAACACGGAAAAGACACAAGAUGAGACAAAGGAACAUGACGGAGGAGGAAAGGACAAUGAAAUGAGGACGCAACAAAAAAGGGACCGGCGAACAUCAUCUCUGUUCCUGCAGCUUCCUCAUUCGCUCCCUGUUAUCUGAUGAGUCUCACUCAGCCUGUCACGGCUGACUGAUCGAGGCUGCCAGUCGCCAUUGCCCCCCCACUACCUGAUGUAAAUAACCUCCCUGCCGGUUCAAGCCUUUCUCUCCUGAUGAUGUUGCAGCAUCACCUGAAGGAAGUGGAUCACUUGUGUCUCUGGUCACAAGGCAACAUUCUCGCAUUUACAAUGGGUUUGUCUCAGAAAUGUCUUCCAAACAUCUGUGCAGGGAACAAAAAAUGAGGCUUUGUGGUGGAACAAUGCAGAUUGAGAAAAGACACAAGGAGCGGCGCAGUGAGAGCAGCCGCUUCAAGUGUUCAGGAUUUCAAUGAACAGAAGAAGAAGGUGAGGAAGACGCUUCGGUUUGGGCUCGAAGUCUGAUGAGAAUUCACUGGCUGCUUUUUGGGAGGCAGCCAUGAAACAGGCGUGCCAAUCAAUUGGACAGGGACAAGGCUGCUGUGUGAUAAUGGCUCUAAUUAUGAACUGCCGGGGGACUCCUCCCAGAUCGGCUGUAAAACCUGGAUUCCUGUCCCUUCCCCUCGUCACCUGACCCCUUCUCUCCCCCCACAAGCCCCUCCUUUCUUCCUCUGUCAGCCAUCAAAGGUGGAGCCCAAUGGAUGUGGGGGGGGGGCGAUUUAGAAGACUUAAGCCCCCACUGUACCUGUCAACAGAGUGGCUUCGGUGCUGACGACCAGCAGCUUAACUCAUUUGAAGCUCCUUUUUUUUUUCCGGCACGGAGGGAGGAGGUGCAGCAUGCGCUGACAGCCAGUCAGGGUCUUGAAAUAAUUCCAUCCCUAUGAAUAACCAGAGGUGUCUCUGCGACUUAACCCCCCCCACCACCACAACACACAGGGACACACACACACUUCCAGUCAGUCGGAGCAGUUUUUGUCCAUUCAAAGUGGGGGCUUGCUGCGACUCUGAGGCUUGAAUAUUGAUAGAGGACACUCCAAUAUUAUAGAACAAUAGUUAUUGUUAGAAGUGCCUAAUUUACUUCUGGCCUUAAAAGGAAAAUCAACCCCAUCCAUGUUCCUAAUGUUUAAUCAAUUAUCCUGAUUGCAACUUGAUUUGAGUAAUUGCUUCCUGAAAGACUAGUUUCACUUUUAUACCAACAACAGCUCCUCGCUGUUUAUUUUAAUGUUUGCUUUGUUUGUUCUGCCACACAAAUUUGCCAUCUCAAAAUAACUGAUUAGAUUUUUAAUGUCUUUCUUGAGUGAGGCCUCCCCCCUCCCCUCAUACUGGGUCUCAUUACUUUCUCCUCCACUCUCUUUCUCUUGGCCGGGAUAAUCCCCCCUGUAGGGGGACUUCAAAGUGCGGGCCGGCCAGGGAAAAGCCUUAAUUACCCAUUUGCCUUGAAACUCAAGCCAAAUCACAGCUCACCCGGGUCCGUCCGACUCCUCGCUUCUUUCUCCCUCCGACUAAUUGUGGCUCAGAAUUCCUUUUUUUUUUUUUUUUCUCCUCCAGCUUCUCCAGGCUGCGGAAAUGGAGCGAUGAAAUUAUAUUAAAAUAAAAAAGAUGAAAAUUAAAAAUGUUAAAACAGGUGAGGAAAGAGUUAAUGUCAUGUUUUUGAGGCAGUAGUUUUCUUUUUAUGUUUUGAAAAUGUUUUAGACUACCUAAAUCACACGACUGAACAGAUCUGUGAGGAGAAAAUGCAUCGAAUGACCAGAAAGAUAUUUCUUUUAGUCAAAUUCAGCCUAAUUAUUCAAAAUUCAAAUACACAAAUAUUAAAAAGGCACAUCAAUCCAACCCUCCCAAAAAAGGUUAUUUUUUACAAAUACUGUAUUUCAGAUGUAUAAAUUGAUUUUUGGAAAACUACUUUAUAUGUGAAUAAUUGUUGGACAUUCCUGCUGUUGUCUCCUGUUUGCUAAGCUUUCUUCAUGGAAUGGAUAUGACAGGUAUUUCUGUUUUAUGCUGUUUUUCCUCCUUAAAGAACCAGUAGUCCAAACUAUAAAGGAAAAAAUAUCAAGAUGUAUAAGUUUACAAGUAAGCCAUAGUCAACCACCUCCGUCCAUUUGCUUGCUCACACCUCAGCGGUGCUGGCCAGGUCCAAGUCCAGAUGCCAGUUUGGAAACUAAAAUGGGAUGUUUUACUGAUUUGCUUUUGUUUCUAUUUAAUUAAAAUGAAAUGUGUUAAAAAUUUAGGAUAAAAAAAAAAGGAUUUUCAAUGGUAAACCUAUCUCAGCAGAUGUAGUCUUUGUAAGCUACUGAAAGCAGCUGUUUAAUAGUUUUCUCAGCAUCAUCACAUAACUCCAAAUUACCUGAUGGGGAAUCCCAACAAAACUGCAGUUUACCACUAUGCAGGAAACAUUUCAGGUGUCAUCCUGGACAAGCCCCCAAUUCAUGCCCCCAUUGAUUGCCAACCGAGAAAAGCUUGUAAACAGCUUGUGUUUGAAAAGCAAAGAUGGGGACCACCCCACCAGCUUCUGGAAAAGAAACAUGUAGAAAAAAAAAAAUAUGUACUAAAGAAAUUAAGAAAAAAUCAAGCAGCCAGAUGUGCUUUUUUCACUAAAAGGCUGUUUAACAACCUUAAUUUAUUCCCAUUCUGUACAACAUGAUUCAUUACAACAGUACAAAGUGAUCAGAUUCUGUUUUGGACAAACAGAUUGUGGCAGCCGGUGAGUUGGAUUGGUCAUCAGAGUAAAGUCAUCUUCCUCCUGCACCUCAAUAAAUGAGCAGUGAGGGACUCACUGUACCCUAUUCACAAAAGGAUGCACAAAAAGACGAGCCGCUUAAGAAUGACAGCAAGUGCCUACACAUGUAAUUCAAACCAUCCAUGAAGAAUAAUCCAGUCCAGCAGAAGAAAAAUAGAUACAAGUCAGGAUUCUCAGGUUUACUAAAAAGCAGAACCAGCACUCAGAACCGGGUUCUGAGGAGAAAUCCACCCUGCCCGAUGAGAACCCACCCGCCACCCUGAACCCCUUAACCUAAUCCAUCCAACUUUGUUACAGCUCAGCCAUUUUUUUCUACUCAUUUAUUUUUCUUUUUUUUUUUUUUUGUAUUUUCAUUACACCCAAGGCAAAAAAGUUACUAAAACUUAAGACUUUUACAGUUACAUUGACAUAAAAA